Molecule: non-coding RNA, 30 nt
Filed under: Mus musculus (house mouse)
Lineage: Eukaryota; Metazoa; Chordata; Mammalia; Rodentia; Muridae
Source: RNAcentral
UNGUAUACGGUUCAGUGUUUACCAUACAGC